GCACAUUCCAGCACAUAAAAUAAAAUAUUUUUUUGUGUUUACACUCACUCUUUCAAAUAGAUGAAAGUAAAACACAGCAGAAAAUAAAUAAAAUCAAAGACUAGCGGUCCUGUUGCUCUAUUUUCACCUGUAAAGCAGGACUGGGUUAGGCGGAGGUUUACCCUGGUGCAGGUGUGCCGCAGCGGUCAGUGGAAGAAUCCGCGAGUUUCUCUGUGAAUUUCCCAUUACAGUCGUAGCGCACUCGGUGCUUGCUUGGAAGUUUAGGGGUUUUUUUCGCUGUAAAAAGAAGUUUUCUUCCCACGCACAAUGGACACUAAUGUUUUUGUUACUUUUUAUGGAAUCAAACUCAAAAUAAGGUUUAAUAUUUAAAGACUGUUUAGAGUUUGGUUCCCAUAAGAGAUCAGGGUCAUCUCUUCCUCCUGAUCAGCACAGCAGCAUCCUGGCCUGAAUCACAUCGAAGGGAUCUGAGCUGCUCUGACAAACAGACGUGUCCACUCUCAUGUGUCAACUUAACAGAGAUCAACCUAAAGAAUAGCAGUGACCUGCACCGCAUAUUUAUAUACACAAUGUACGUGAACUCUCCCGGAGCUGAGAGUGGAUCCUAUUCACUGACCUUCCUGGGAAAGAAAGUAGGAAGACAUCGAUCUGUAGCUCCUGCAGGCAAGCAAUUUGCCUGGGAGACGACUGUCAGGUCUGCUUGCCCCGAGGACCGCGUGGUGUCCUCGAGGGCUGCUAAAGUCCCUGUGGCAGCGCAGACGCUGGAAGAGCUACCAGGCAGUGUACCAGAGCUUCAAGAUGAAAGGCCAUGCCCGAUUAUUCACAACACACAGCUUGACCAGUUUGAGAAAACCACAGCAGGUGUUUCUGUGAGGAAAGUUACAACAUGACAACACACCCACAUUCCUGUACGAGGAAUAAAAGAGAGGAGAGGGUGGGAUGGGUUCUGCAUGACACGGAGAAUGAUGAAGUUGUCAAACAGGGCCAACUUGUGGAAUAUUUUAGAUAAGGCUGAGAGUGGUAAAGCUUCGAACUGAAAGAGAAAGUAAGCCAGAACUAACUUUUUAGUUAACUAGAACAUAUUAAUUGUGUUAUAAUCUACUUUUUGAUUGCAGCCUUCAGAAAUGUAAAUAGACAUUAAACUGAAUGCCAUGAAUCGCUAAAAAAAAAAUGUAAGGCAUGUUUGAAAUCUUAGAAAUAAAAUGGAAAUGUUUCCAAG
Oreochromis aureus is the source of this 1216-nucleotide long non-coding RNA. Lineage: Eukaryota; Metazoa; Chordata; Actinopteri; Cichliformes; Cichlidae. The record is from Ensembl.